This 330-nucleotide ribosomal RNA is filed under the name uncultured bacterium. RNAcentral describes it as "bacterial SSU rRNA". It matches the Rfam family "Bacterial small subunit ribosomal RNA", at positions 568 to 898 of the family's 1533-position model. The record is from RNAcentral.
UCCGUAGGCGGUGUGGCAAGUCGGUAGUGAAAUCUCUCGGCUUAACUGAGAGGCUGCUGCCGAAACUGCCAUGCUGGAGUGCGAGAGAGGCGAGUGGAAUUGCGGGUGUAGCGGUGAAAUGCGUAGAUAUCCGCAGGAACAUCCGAGGCGAAAGCGGCUCGCUGGAUCGCAACUGACACUGAGGGACGAAAGCUAGGGGAGCAAACAGGAUUAGAUACCCUGGUAGUCCUAGCCCUAAACCAUCAGGACUUGGGGUUUGCCCUGUACGGGGCAAGUCCCGGAGCUAACGCGUUAAGUCCUGCGCCUGGGGAGUACGGUCGCAAGGCUGAA